CUUACCCCAUAUUUUAGUACAAUUAUUAUUUCACCUGCCCACUUUAGGAGGAAGGGAGAUUUACUUUCUUUUUCCUAUACAUAUGGGAUGACUGCUUGUAACAAAUCAAUCAUGCUGUGACUCUGUUGUCAAAUAUGUUGAAUUUUCCUGAUUAGUUUGGUUUGGUUUAUUUUGAAUGGUUGUGAUAUGUUUAUGCUUUAUAAACGUCAACAUGACACAUUGUUUAUUCUUGUGUUUAAUGUUAGGCUGACCAAUUAACUGAGGAACAAAUCGCAGGUAAAUAUUUAAAUACUGUAAGAGCUGCUCGGUGGGUUGUCAAUCAAAAUUUACAUACAUUUUGCAAUAUUGGUUUGAGACUCCUGUGACUUGUCAUAUGACUUGAUGAAAGUAGAAUAAUUUCGCAUUUACUGUAUAUCUUAUGGGUGGUAAGCUUUUAAUACAUUGGUAUAUGUCUGUAACAAUUUCAGAAUGUGACAGACAGUUUUUAAAGGAAUCUUUAAUAGUGUUUUUAAUGUCCAGCAGGGCACCAGUAAUUGGCUCAUAAAGUACCAGACAAAGCUUUGAGCUGAUAAAACUGAGGUUACUUUAGAAUUUUGGAGAUAAAUUUCUAGUCAUUUUGAUAACAUUGAUUUUGACAUUUUAAUCUGAGAAUUGUAUAUUGUGGCUUGUAUGCAACAAGAAUAUGGAAUUGAAUAUUUGCUUAGGAGCUCAAAAUGAUGAAGUUUGUACUAUAUUUUUCAGGAAGUUAGAUAAUUUAGCCAACGUCAUGAAAUUUAUAUUGCAGUGUUUACAAAAAAUAAUAUGUUGCUUUAAUUUGAGUAAUCAUCGAAUAUGAACAAUAUAAGUUUAUAUUGCAAUAAACACAAUAGGAUACAUUUGGAUAGUCUUGUGUAGUAAAUUCUGUGCAUAUAAAUUUCUAUAGAAUUCAAAGAAGCGUUCAGUUUAUUUGACAAAGAUGGUGAUGGAACAAUCACAACAAAAGAAUUAGGUACGGUCAUGAGGUCACUCGGACAAAAUCCCACAGAAGCUGAAUUGCAAGAUAUGAUUAACGAAGUUGAUGCUGAUGGUGAGUUUGAUAUUGUGUCAAUGUCUAACCCUGACUCGAGAAGGUGUAUCUUCAAAACUCUUCAAAGUGAUGGAAUUCCAGAACAUGUGGCAGCACUCUCCACUUGACAAGUAAAAUCGUCUGGUGUUAGACAGAGUAAAAUACCAAAGUAGGGUGCAUCAGGGUGCAUUGCCACUUAAAGGGUUAAUAAUUUAAUUCAAACAUUUGUAUUAAUUUUUAAAUUUGUCAACCUUUAAGCAAUUUGGCCGCACUAUUGACAAGUAAAAUCAUCUGGUAUUAAUUAGACAGAAUAAAAUAAUAAAGUGCAUCAUGGUGCAUUGCCAUCUAAAGGGUUAAAGAUGAUGAUAUGUACUGGGUUAUGAUCGUCCUGAUUUGAUUCCAAUGCUUCUUAUAUAUCUGAUUUGACAGUUGUUGACCUCAGUUAAUUAGUAUGUUUAUCAUUUGUGAUUUUUUCUGAUUUACUCUCUGAUAUCCCCAAGGUAAUGGUACGAUUGAUUUUCCCGAAUUUCUUACAAUGAUGGCACGCAAGAUGAAGGAAACUGACAGUGAAGAUGAAAUCCGUGAAGCAUUCCGUGUGUUUGAUAAAGACGGCAAUGGCUUCAUUAGCGCAGCUGAAUUGCGUCAUGUGAUGACAAAUCUUGGUGAGAAAUUAACCGAUGAAGAGGUUGAUGAGAUGAUCAGAGAGGCUGAUAUUGAUGGUGAUGGACAGGUUAACUAUGAAGGUAAUUCCUUAAUUGGUGGUUCCAGUUCCAGCAAGGUUUUUUUAGUGAGGGGGGUGCUAGGCAUGCUGUCAUGAAAUUGCACCUUACAAUUUACAGAUAUGUUGAAAAUUCCUUCUCAUCUCAGUGCCAGAGUCUUUGCUCAACUUCCUAGUUUUGGUCAAGACACAUAGGACCAGAUAAAGUUGCUGAUUUGCUGCAUUAUUGUAUUGUCUGAUUUCAAGGAGAUUGUAUGUCUUUGAGAGCAAAUAAGAAACUUAAGAAUGUAUUUAUUUUUUGCAGAAUUUGUGAAGAUGAUGACUUCAAACUAAAACUGUCCUGGAUUUCCACCAUGGCUGCAUCAUUUGUUCUACAUUGCAUGUGUCUCUACAAGUUAGAAUAACAAUGUGUUGUUUUCACCACUCUCCAUGUUUAAUUUAAUUAAUAGUUUUGUUUAAAGUACUGAAGUCAGAAUAAACUCUGUAAAAUACUGUACUUAUCUUCUGACUCAAGCUAUUAGAGAUUGGUGGUAAGAGACUUAAUAUAUUAUACUGUAUGUACUGUAGUUUGUGUUAUAGUGAAUAUAGAUCCUUAUAGUUUAUUUAUGAUGAUUAUUAACCAAUGAGUGAAUGUUGAGUUUUUAUUUCUUCUUCAUUUUACAUUUUUGUGAACAGCCUCAAAUUCUCCUUGCACAUCUUUUUUAUCUAUCUAACCUCCACCAUUUAUCUUUCUACAACAAAAAUACUCUUGCAAGUUG
RNAcentral lists this long non-coding RNA (2521 nucleotides) under Paramuricea clavata. Lineage: Eukaryota; Metazoa; Cnidaria; Anthozoa; Malacalcyonacea; Plexauridae. The record is from RNAcentral.